GGAAGUAAAAGCGUAACAAGGUCUCCGUUGGUGAACCAGCGGAGGGAUCAUUACCGAGUUAUCAACUCCCAAACCCCUGUGAACAUACCCAACGUUGCUUCGGCGGGACCGCCCCGGCGCCCUCGGCGUCCCGGGACCAGGCGCCCGCCGGAGGACCCAAACUCUUGUUUAAACCAUAGUGGCAUAUUCUGAGUCUCACAAGAAAAAUGAAUCAAAACUUUCAACAACGGAUCUCUUGGCUCUG
Molecule: unclassified non-coding RNA, 244 nt
Filed under: plant metagenome
Description: partial contains small subunit ribosomal RNA, internal transcribed spacer 1, and 5.8S ribosomal RNA
Rfam family: Eukaryotic small subunit ribosomal RNA (bases 1-53)
Source: RNAcentral